UCAAUGUAGAAUAAAUGGACAAUAUAUACACACACACACACCCACAUACGAUGAUGAUGAUGAUGGAUGACCAAUUGAAUUGGUUGCUUUUAAUGCUUGAUUACAAACAAAGAAGAAGAAGAAGAAGAAGAAGAACAGAAAAAAGUUUUUAAAAACAUUGUUUUGUCUCACCAUUUAUCUCAUCAUUUCAUGAUGGUAUUUUCCAGUGAAUCAAAUAAUUUUAUUCCAUUUCCAGAUGAUAAUUUGCCAUUUCCCAAGUGAAAUCAUCAUGAAACGGAAUAAAUAAACACUAUGUAUAUAAUGAAUGGAUGAUAUGGUUCUUUUGAUUCUUGAAUUCCAUUUAUAAAUUUCCAAGUUCGAUUCAAUUCAACCACCACCACCACCACCACCACCACCACCACCAAUGAACAACCACUACCUUCAUAUUUGACUUUUAAACAGCGACAACAAUAAGGGAGGAAUUCUUUACAAAGAAAUUUUACAAUCUUCAUUUUUCAAAAAGAAAUUCCUUUCAUCCAAUUCAUCGUCAUCAUCAUCAUCAUCACCAUAAAAUGUCGAUCGACAAGAAUCUUUUUUUUCUUCUUCUUUCCGUUUUCGAUCAAUCAUACUGAGAAAAAAAAAUAGAAUCAAUAAUAUCUCUUGGUAAAACUGAUGAUGAUGACGAUGACCAUCACGGAAGCCAUAUGUAUACGGAUCAACAUAAGAAUUCAAAAUAUAUAAAGAAGUAAAAAAAAAUGAAUCAACCGAAUAAAAGUUUCAGAAUCACAAGACGGGGAAAAAAAUCGGAAAAUGAAAUGUUUUCAAUGAUGAUGAUGAUGAUGGAAUGAAAAUAGACCAGAUUCCCUCAUGGCCAAAUCAUAUAUACAACAACAACAAAAACAUCAAAACAAUAACCGAAAAUGAUGUCUAUCACAAUGAUGAUUAUGAUCAAGAUCAAGAUGGAAAAAAAUAGCAAAACAAAAAAAAAAACAAAUCUUAUACAUGUAUUAUAAUAUAACCAUAGACCAGACCAGACCAGACACCACCACUUUUCAUAAAUCCGAAUUCAUAAAGAGAAUAUAAGAAAUGUAGUUCAUGAUCCAGAAUCGUUCAUCUCUCUUUAUAUACAGCAAAAGCAUCAUCAUCAUCAUCAUCUAAUAUAAUAUAUAAAGAUGAACAAAAAAAAA
Non-coding RNA from Dermatophagoides farinae (American house dust mite), 1166 nucleotides. Lineage: Eukaryota; Metazoa; Arthropoda; Arachnida; Sarcoptiformes; Pyroglyphidae. The record is from RefSeq and is a predicted model, not a curated record.